Molecule: ribosomal RNA, 442 nt
Filed under: uncultured bacterium
Lineage: Bacteria
Description: partial 16S ribosomal RNA
Rfam family: Bacterial small subunit ribosomal RNA
Source: RNAcentral
CCUACGGGGGGCAGCAGUAGGGAAUCUUUCUCAAUGGGCGAAAGCCUGAUGGAGCCACGCCGCGUGUAGGAUGACGGCCCUAGGGUUGUAAACUGCUUUUAUAAGCGAGAAAUAUGAUGGUAACUUAUGAAUAAGGAUCGGCGAACUACGUGCCAGCAGCCGCGGUCAAACGUAGGAUCCGAGCAUUAUCCGGAGUGACUGGGGGUAAAGAGUUGCGUAGGUGGCAUAAUAAGUAGCUAGUGAAAUCUGGUGGCUCAACCAUUCAGACUAUUAGCUAAACUGUUAAGCUCGAGACCGUUAGAGGUAACUGGAAUUUCUGGUGUAGGAGUGAAAUGCGUAGAUAUCAGAAGGAACACCGAUAGCGUAGGCAGGUUACUGGGACGGUUCUGACACUAAGGCACGAAAGCGUAGGUAGCAAACGGGAUUAGAUACCCCUGUAGUC